Molecule: long non-coding RNA, 825 nt
Organism: Suricata suricatta (meerkat)
Lineage: Eukaryota; Metazoa; Chordata; Mammalia; Carnivora; Herpestidae
Exons: 3
Source: RefSeq, a predicted model, not a curated record
AAAUUAAUGGUUACUCAUACUUUCUGCAUUAUUCAUGCAUAGACACAGGCAGACAGUGGAUGAUUCCAGAGUACUGGAAACCCUGAGAUAGCAAAUAAAUAGCACCAAUCAGCUGACUCUAUGGCUGUAACCCACCAGAUGAUUUGCAGGUUAUUCUGAGUCCUACUUUGGGUGCAAACCCUUACCGGUGCUCCCUGCUGCCCUCAACGAUUCUGGCAGAAAACCAGUAAUUAUUCUGUUUCCUGUGGGUCUCAUGUUUGAACCUUUGUAGAAUGUUCUGUCUGGCUAGCCACUGCCCGUCUGCACUCAGACUGCUGAGUGACCUCCUACUCAUGACCUCACCUCAUGGAGGCAGAGGAGACCUGGAUAAAUCUGGAAUGGAGACAGAGCCAAUAAUCAAUAGUUGGGACAGGCUGGUACAGAAAGAGAGACAAAGAGCAGGAGGUCACUGAUGUCUGGAAACAGGAAGCUCAGAGAAGAUACAAUCAGUGUCUGUGAAGGCUGUGUAAGAGAGAAGGUCGAGAAUGAUAAAUGAAAUCAUGAAUAAAAACGUGCACGUGAAUGUUGGGAAGAAGAGAGCAGGAUGGUGGACAGACAUGCUCCCACAAUGCUUCCCUGGACCACCAUGUGUGAGAUGAAAGGGCCGCCGUGUGAGGGAGACCCGUGUGAGGAUGCCCUUGGUCGCUUUUGAGUCUGCUGUCUCUCCCACACCGUCGACGUGGAAGGAAGACUUUGUCUGCACACCUCUUGGAGUCACCUGUUUCAUGGAACUGACUUACCUUUGGAGCCUUAGUGUCCCUUCCUCCUAAGGCAGGGAUUUCUCUG